GACGAACGCUGGCGGCGUGCUUAACACAUGCAAGUCGAACGGAAAGGCCCUGCUUUUGUGGGGUGCUCGAGUGGCGAACGGGUGAGUAACACGUGAGUAACCUGCCCUUGACUUUGGGAUAACUUCAGGAAACUGGGGCUAAUACCGGAUAGGAGCUCCUGCUGCAUGGUGGGGGUUGGAAAGUUUCGGCGGUUGGGGAUGGACUCGCGGCUUAUCAGCUUGUUGGUGGGGUAGUGGCUUACCAAGGCUUUGACGGGUAGCCGGCCUGAGAGGGUGACCGGCCACAUUGGGACUGAGAUACGGCCCAGACUCCUACGGGAGGCAGCAGUGGGGAAUAUUGCACAAUGGGCGGAAGCCUGAUGCAGCAACGCCGCGUGCGGGAUGACGGCCUUCGGGUUGUAAACCGCUUUCGCCUGUGACGAAGCGUGAGUGACGGUAAUGGGUGAAGAAGCACCGGCUAACUACGUG
Molecule: ribosomal RNA, 468 nt
Filed under: uncultured bacterium
Lineage: Bacteria
Description: partial 16S ribosomal RNA
Rfam family: Bacterial small subunit ribosomal RNA
Source: RNAcentral